AUGGGGGAAAUUGUCUCUGUGUAGAUUGCUUUGACUUGAAGAACCUUCCCAAUCAGUUCUGGAGCCCAGGAUUGUUCACCAGACCUCUGUGCAAGGCCUGGCAUCUGUUGUGCUGAAGGCAGCAUCAGUCAGAGAGCAGCACAAAUCCUGCAGCUCGGCACAACUGCUCCCUGCCCACAGCUGGAUGAGGAGGAGACAACACCUGCAUGGCUGAAGUGAAAUGGGCUCCUGGCUGACUGAUACAAACAUUGUCUGAGUAUGGCACAGCCCUUGGGCAGCCCUUUCAUUAGGGUCUCAUUUUAAUUGUUGAGAAAAUUUUGUCAAGGGCAGCACGAGAUACAAUGAAGCCCAUCAAUGCCUUUGUAUUUGCAAUCAACAGCGUGUGUCUAAACCGAGUAAAGCCUAGAGACAUCCUGG
Non-coding RNA from Cyanistes caeruleus (blue tit), 417 nucleotides. The record is from RefSeq and is a predicted model, not a curated record. NCBI's taxonomy places the organism in Eukaryota, Metazoa, Chordata, Aves, Passeriformes, Paridae.